This 263-nucleotide ribosomal RNA is filed under the name uncultured bacterium. Its description in RNAcentral is "partial 16S ribosomal RNA". It matches the Rfam family "Bacterial small subunit ribosomal RNA", at positions 334 to 611 of the family's 1533-position model. The record is from RNAcentral.
UAUUCCUACGGGGGGCAGCAGUGGGGAAUAUUGGGCAAUGGGCGCAAGCCUGACCCAGCAACGCCGCGUGAAGGAAGAAGGCUUUCGGGUUGUAAACUUCUUUUAUCAGGGACGAAGCAAGUGACGGUACCUGAUGAAUAAGCCACGGCUAACUACGUGCCAGCAGCCGCGGUAAUACGUAGGUGGCAAGCGUUAUCCGGAUUUACUGGGUGUAAAGGGCGUGUAGGCGGGAGUGCAAGUCAGAUGUGAAAACUAUGGGCUCA